UUUAUUCCUAUCGGUAAUUAUGAACGUCGUAAUCCGUGAUGUAGAUUACAGUCUCGUGCAAAGAGAAACCGGUUUCCUCCUCAACGACUGGCAGACAAUCCCAUCCCACGUGGAAGGCCAUCGAUGAAGCGGGGAUAAGUUACAACGGUACUUUCACACGACGCUUUUUACUACUCAAAUAAACUCACUGUAGACUGUUACUAUUGAGUUAACUCUAGUCUCGUUUAAAUCAAAAUUACUAUGUCAGACGAAAAGAGGCACGAUAAGGAGAAUGAAAAGGGAGCUCGAUACAUUAUAGGAAGACAAAUCAUGAAUUUAAAAAUGAAGAUAGUCCUAAAAAUUAUUCUAUCUUCUAUAGCAGGCCCGUUGAUCCUUUACGGUAUAUCUUUUAUUUAUCAGUCAUACUCGAGGCAUCUAUUUGAAAGACCAGUUACAAUAAACGAGGAUCGACCCAAAUUUUGGAUCUAUGCCAAGAGUAACGACACCGGUUAUUUGAAGCAUGUAUACGCGGUGCUCCAUCGACUCGGUUUCCAAGAGAGCAAUAACAAGUCCGAUUGGGAUCUAUUGUGGGCCCAUGAUUAUCCAUUUCGCGUGCUGUCCGUGAGUUUAGAUAAAUUGCAAAAGCACCAACGAGUCAAUCAUUUUCCCGGUUGCGGCUACAUCACAAAUAAAGUGGAUCUGUCGACAUCGCGUGGCGGACGAUAUAUACCGGCGGCAUUCAAGAUACCCGAGGAUCAGCAAGCCUUUCUCGAUUAUGCCAAGUCACAUCCCGCGAAGCUGUUCGUACAGAAAUCGAACGAUCACCGGGGCAUUCGCAUUCGCGACAAUGAUGACGCAAACUUCAUCGAUGGCACGUUCAUUCAAGAGUUCAUCGAACGACCGUUCCUCGUGGAUGGCUACAAGUUCGAUAUUGGAAUGUAUGUUGUCAUUACGUCCGUAGAUCCGCUACGAUUAUACGUCUAUAAGGGCGAUGUGUUGUUUCGCUUCUGUCCAGUGAAAUAUUAUCCUUUCGAUCCAGAAAUCCUAGACAAGUACGUGGUUGGCGACGAUUAUCUACCGAUUUGGAGUGUGCCAUCCUUGAAGAAAUAUUACACAGAACUCGGAUUCUCGAUGAAAGAUUCGUUCGAUGCGUAUAUCAAAGAGCGUGGAAAGAAUCCGACUGAUAUGUGGGAACGAGUGUAUGACGCUAUCCGGGAAGUCGUCUUGAUGAAGGAGAUGCAAAUCAGAGAAGUCUCCAAACGUUUUGGCAAUGGCAGAAAUUUCUUCGAACUCGUGAGAUUCGAUCUGGCUCUUGACGCAGAUCUAAAUGUUUACAUGAUGGAGGCGAACAUGUCGCCGAAUCUAUCUUCCGCACAUUAUCCACCGAAUCAACUGCUCUAUGAGCAAGUCAUAUUCAAUAUGUUUGCGCUGGUCGGUAUCGGCAAGAGGACUAAAAGAGAAUCCUUGAAGAUUAGGCAAGUAAAGCGUAUCAAGAUUUAAAUGCGAGCACAGAAGAGUUUUGUGUCUCGAAAUUGGUUGCCUAAAAAUAUAGAAAAUAAAGCGGAGGAAGAAAUGGAGGUAGCAAACAAAAACAUCGUGGUGCUACCAGAGCUCUGUAAGGAAUGUGAAGAUUGUUUUCGCAUAGA
Molecule: unclassified non-coding RNA, 1625 nt
Filed under: Camponotus floridanus (Florida carpenter ant)
Lineage: Eukaryota; Metazoa; Arthropoda; Insecta; Hymenoptera; Formicidae
Description: tubulin polyglutamylase TTLL7, transcript variant X2
Source: RNAcentral